Molecule: long non-coding RNA, 255 nt
Filed under: Chrysolophus pictus (golden pheasant)
Lineage: Eukaryota; Metazoa; Chordata; Aves; Galliformes; Phasianidae
Description: lncRNA (ENSCPIG00010014590.1)
Source: RNAcentral
CGCUGACGUCACCGCGCCGCGGAGGGGGCCGAGCACGUGUAGGAGCACGGCGCGGGGGAGUGGAAGGCCAUGAACAGAGGUGGAUGACUAUGGAUGGGAGUGGAUGGAUAUGGACAAGGGGUCCCCCAGGUUGCCCACUGCGUGCGUGUGGGCAAUCAGAGAUUUACGGCGGUGCUGAGGCGCGGAGGGAGAACGGCGAGCACAUUUCUGCCACAAACUGCUGCUUUCAGGGAUCAUUCCACUCGACUGGCCGCG